GCUCUCUAAACUCAGCCACUAGCAGGGCAUCUGAAGAGCCGCUCAGCUGUGUCCAGCCGGGCGUCGCCCCCUCCUCGGGGACUCCACCUCCUGCAGGCACAGUGGGCCACGCCUGCGUUUCCUCCUGGAAAAGCCUCCGCUCCUACUUCGCCCUCCAUUUCUGUGACUUGGGAGCGUCGGCCAGGCGUCCUUUGGAAAUGUCUGGGGAGCUGUCCCCUGCAGAAAUGGACACUGCCCCCGAAGCCUUGGAAUGUCAUGACUGCCCACGGGAGUGAGGCUUCUUCCACCGCCCUGCCACUCAGAGACACCCAGGAGCCCAGCUGGGGAAGGGUGCACUCCACAGUUAGCCUGUCCG
This 355-nucleotide long non-coding RNA is filed under the name Heterocephalus glaber (naked mole-rat). Its description in RNAcentral is "lncRNA (ENSHGLG00100044056.1)". The record is from RNAcentral. Lineage: Eukaryota; Metazoa; Chordata; Mammalia; Rodentia; Bathyergidae.